CCUACGGGUGGCAGCAGUGAGGAAUAUUGGUCAAUGGCCGGAAGUCUGAACCAGCCAAGCCGCGUGAAGGACGACGGUGCUAAGCAUUGUAAACUUCUUUUGUACAGGGAUAAAAUCAGGCUCGUGAGCCUGUUCGUGGGUACUUGAUGAAUAAGCAUCGGCUAACUCCGUGCCAGCAGCCGCGGUAAUACGGAGGAUCCGAGCGUUAUCCGGAUUUAUUGGGUUUAAAGGGUGCGUAGGCGGCCGUUAAGUCAGCUGUGAAAGUCUGUGGGUCAACCAUAGAAUUGCCGUUGAAACUGGGAGGCUUGAGUAUGGUAGAGGCAGGCGGAAUGCGUGGUGUAGCGGUGAAAUGCUUAGAUAUCACGCAGAACCCCGAUUGCGAAGGCAGCCUGC
This 393-nucleotide ribosomal RNA is filed under the name uncultured bacterium. RNAcentral's name for it is "partial 16S ribosomal RNA". It matches the Rfam family "Bacterial small subunit ribosomal RNA", at positions 338 to 729 of the family's 1533-position model. The record is from RNAcentral.